ACAGACGGGUCGAGUGAAGGUCCCAGCCUGGAUGAAAGAUGGAUCUUUGGGUGGGUUUUGAAGUGCCUUUGUGCAUCUGAGCAGAUGUCUCCAGUUGGAAGUUUGCAGCAUAAGCAAGAGAUCCUAAUUUGGGUAUCUGACUUUCAGGCAGGGAUUGGAGCCCCUGGCCCAGCUCCCUCGGUCAUGGUCAUGAGUGGAGGGUCUGGGAACCGCCCCAGUCUGGCUGAGCCCCUGCCAAUGCAGGUAAAAACACAGGGGUCUGUGGGGGUAGGGGACAGGAAGGACACUGCAAGAUGUAGAUCACUGUAAGCAUUUUGGACAAGAGUGGUAUCCUGGGCUUCUACAUCUCUCGAACCUUCUGCUGGCUCUCCUUCAUACUUCAUAAAAAUUCUUUAAAACCAGCUAUAACCACCACAAGAAAAAGCAACCCAAACAAAUGCUAAAAACGGCAGCCAGUGGCUCUCUGAGCCUCUCCACCUAUUUUUAUUUUGCUUGCACGGAGCUCCAUGCUAUAAAUAUGCUCAUGGCAUCCGCACAGGAACUCAAAUGCCAGCACAGCCGACGAAGCUGACUAACCACAAAAAUGCCAACUCACCAGACUGAGGAGAAAGAGCUGCUCUGAGCGAAAAUCAGGGACCCUGGGAGGCAGUGGGAUACGUCACACAAGAAUGUUCCACAAGAAAAGGCAUGGCAGCUGAUUUUGCUCUAGAAGAAGGAAAACAGUUUUCACGGACUCUAGUAAAUGUCCUACGGUGAAGACAGGAGACCUCCCCACGGGACUGGUCUGGUAAGGAUUAGGCAAUUGUGAACAACGCUUGGGGGACAGUCAUUAUUACUCCAUAAGAUAACUGCAGGCGUGGUCUGCAGUGAGCCUUAUCUUGGGAAAUAACAUAGAAAUCAGAUCCCUUCCUUAUGUACACGUGGGAAACAGACUACAGAUGUCUACUUCGGGUGGGGGUUGGUGUGGAGGAGCCGACGCGCACAGAGGACAGGAGGGCAGAUGUGGAUGUGUGUGUGCGCACCCACGUGGAACGUGUGCUCAUGCCAGGUUCGAAGGCCUGCAUCCACCACAAGGGGAGAGGACGCUGGGAGAAAUUGCCUGUCGUUGAGGUACGUUUCUGGGGAGUGGAGGGAGGUGCAGUGUCCCCACCCGCCCUGCGUACAGGACGCACUCAGGUGUGUGAUGAGCUCAGGACACAGGCUGUCCAACCUCAGGGCUCCUUUCUAGCAUUUCCCAACACGGUCCCAAAUUCAAACCAGGCCAGAGAAGCAAGGAGCUUAACCACCGCAGGCCUCCACGUCAGGGGAAAACCACGGCAUCCGGCUGAUUGGCAUGAUCGCCAACUGCAUCCCCUUCUGGGUCACUUAAAAAGGAUUGCUCACCGUGAAGCUACUAUGAAGAUGUGCACUCCGGGGGAGGGCUGCAAAUCAUUGUCUCGCCCACACGGUCACCCCCCACUCCUCUUCAGCCCCUGGAGCAUCCUGGCAGGACAACACUGCUCCACGGGUGAAAUCCCUGAUCACAGUCCUCCUGAGAGAGGAGCUUCCUUUCUGCUCCGGACAGACACCCUCCUGUCUCUCAACCCCCUAGGGUCCGAGCCUGCUCCUGCCCCCACACCCCAGGGACCCUGCCUCAAUCUUCUCUGCACGUCGUCCCGCCACUCUUCAGACGUGCUCUCCUCGGGGACGCUCCACCCCUGCUCACCCCUCGUGGCUUCUUCCAUUUCCUCUGCUGGUUCUUGCUCUGCCGUGAGCUACACGUUUAUGGAAAGUUGACAAUAAGGUGUAUUUGGCACGAUUCUGUCCCUGGCUCUCCUCUGCCUCACUGUUGUUUCUUGCAGGACAGGAUUCUUCUUGUGGGUAACUCCCAUAUCUACGUCACUGCACCGGAUUUCUUUCCCAAGCCUGAGACCUGCGUUUCCAACUGCCGGGAGGACUUCAUUACUGACCCCUCAAAGCUGAUGUGACCCAGAGCAAACUCAGCUUCCUUCUGUUAUAUUUGCUUCUUCCUUUCUUCUUUCGGCUUCCUAAUUUUGUGAGCAUCCUCCCAGGUAACCAGGAUCAAAGUUCUCAGGGCUUCCCCCUGGACUUUUCCUUGGUCCCGUGGGCCUGACUUGUCUGCUCGGCGACAUCUCAACCUCCGGUCUCCCCACCCCUCCCAGCUAGACUUCUGCACCCCUUCCAAGUGAAUCUGCUGCCAAGCUUCUAAUAAAUGCAGCAGACCCUUCUUGAGAACUGUGUGUGCCCACAGCUGAUCCCACAUGCCUCUCUGCAGGCCUCUUGCCCAGACCCCAGCUCCCUGCAGGCUGAUGUUGCACGGGGCACAGCCUACCGAGGAGCAUCGUGCUAGAGAAUCCAGGUCUGGGGAACGAGUUGGCUGGUGUUCACUCUGCCUUCCAGGCCUUUCGGGGCUGGAAUUUGGGACACAGCUCCGAAAGCCAAAGGUUGUAAGAGGCUUUCUCUGAGUGCAUUUGAACAGCUGGGCAAAAUAUCCUGGCUUUCAAAAAGAAAGGCAUUCUUCCUGUUUUCAGAAGUCACCAAACCUGUUUCCCGGUUUUUGAAGAAACAGGGUCACCUGGGCUUUGGCCAGGCUGAAACAGCCCAUCCCUUCAUCAGGUGGGUUUACUCAGGAGGACGCAACAUUUGGAUGUGGGCAGGUGUGUUUACUGAGCAGGGGUUCAAGCCUCCUCAUUCAGGGAAAUUCCUGGUAACUUUUCUGCCUUAAGACUUCCCACUGCUGAUCGAAGCAUAGCACUGCCUCAUGUAAAACCAUGGUGGCCGUGUCCUUUAAGUACCAAAUUUGGGGGAGUUUUAGGUGCAUAGUAAACUUUAGAUUUCUUUCCAUUAACAGUAGUAAUUUAAAGAGUAUCACCAAAUAAAGCCUGGAGUUUAGUUGAUGGUAACUUAGCCACGUUAGUUUCCUAGCUGACAGACGUGCCCAGCGAUGGAAGAAGCUGACGUGAGGGCAGAAACCCUACUGUCGUGGCAACUUUUUUCUAAAUCUAAAGUUAUUUCAAAAUAAACAAUAUAAAGAAAGAUCAGCUCCUCUCCCGCCUUCUGCAAAUGGGACAGAAGGCUAAGCCCUUCACAAAUACUGUCUCAUUUCGUCCAUGUAACAGGCCUAUGAGGUACACAUACUACAGAUGACACAGUGUAGCUCCACAAGGGCCAGAGGCAGCCAGAGAUGUCUGGUGGGGGUGUGGCCGGGAGCGUGGACACAGCCAGAGCGCAGCCAUCCCCCUCGGCACGGGCCAGCCGGGUUUCCCAUACCCCAGACUGAAUAGACACAUACACGCAUCCACAUCUACUUCCAUCUGGCCUGGUGGUCCAGAACUCGGUGUGAACUCCUUUCUUCACGAACCUCCCUGCGUUCCAUUCUUUUCCUUAAAUAUAUUCACUCACACAGGCUGCCUAUGCCGUGCAGGCACCAAUGGCCCAGACGUCCUUCAAGGCAGAACUGGCCAGUGAUGCCCCAUGCCCACACUGGACAUGGCCCACUCAUCCAUGACAGGGCCUGGCCCUCCUUUUCCAUGCCUUUCUGUUCCGGAGACCACAAGCCCCCAGCGGGCAAAGCCUUAUACUUGAGCUAGCUCGCUCGCUCCCCCACCCACCUGUGCAUGCAUUCACUGCUUGUAGAAGAAACAAGAGUUAUAGCCAAAAUGCAACUCAGAGAAUCAUAGAAUCUUAGGUUUGUCACAGGAGCUCCGUAUCAGUUGUUCCGGAAAAGGUAUUCAUCACAGUCAUCUCAAGAAGCACUUUAGAAAUACACACGUCUGGGACUCCUCCCAGUGUUCUGAUUCAGGAGGGCUGGAUGGGGCCUGGCAAUCUGUAUUUUUUCAAAACUCCCCCAUCCCCAAUCCCAGGUGACCGUGUUGCAGUGCCAGGUUUGGGGUUUCACCCAACAGAUAAAUGCCUUCUAGAAAUAGUCCACCUCUGCUCAAGAAACCCCAAGGUGGAGGAACUCAUUACCUCCUAAGGCAGCCUCUCAUCGCCAAGUGUUAGUGCUAGGGAAUCCUCUAUAUUUAGACACAAUGUGCCUCUUUGGAAAUUCACUGUUUAGAUUCUGUUCUCUGAUACAACUAAGAAGACACUUACUCCCUUUUCACAUGACCAGACUAAACAGAGCCAUCAGAUUUUCUAGAAUCUUCUCUCUCCUAGGACAAAUGCCCAUAGUUUCAACAACUUUUUUUUUUUUUUUUAAUGGAAUGCAUUCUCUAUUCCAUUUCAAAAGUGAAACUCAGAAUUGCGCCUAGUGUUCUGAAGGAGCCCUGAGCAUUUUUGGUGCUCUGGUCGCUUUCGUGAGGCAGUCUAGGACAAGCAUUCUCGACCCUGGCUACACACGGGAAUCAUCAGGGAAGUUUUAGGUCCAACCUCUCAGAAAUUCUGAUAUGACUGGUCUGGGGUUCUGCCUGGCUAUCAAGAUUUUGUAAAGGUUCCAGGUGAUUCUGCUGAGCAGCUGAUGUUGAGAGCUACAGAUACAGACGCGGGGUCCUCUCUGUGUUAUUCUGUUGACUCACACACUUAUUCACUCAGCCUUUUUGCCUUGAAUCCCUGCCAAUUCCUCAUCAUGCACUUGAGGAAGUGACUAGUUGAACUUAGCAGACUUUUACAUUUAUUCCUGAUAAAUGUCAUCAAUUUGAUUUGGAUCCAUUGUUGCAAGGUCAAGUCAUGUCCUUGAGCUUCAUACUGACUGCUCUCUUUCUAGCUUUGAGUCUUUUACAUGCUUCUGGUAUCGUCAUGUAAAACAUGGAUAAAAUUACAGAUCUUUGAAAGAUCUCCUGAAAAUCCUCUGGGAAAUAAAUGACAGCAGCUGCUUUUUAGGCAAGUGGAUAUUCUUUCACAGUGAAGGACCAGAUGCAAAAGAUUUAUGGUCACAGAUAAUAAAGAGUGUGGCGUUUAUUCCUAGUAUGAAAUGUUCCCUACAGCUCCCUGAAGCUCUCUCUGGUGGCAGGGGCCAGCUGAAGCCACCAUGCUGAGCUGCCAGGGUACAGCUGAUGACAUUUCCUGUGUGUGGCCUCCCCAACAUUAUUUAGGUCACCUGCCACAUGGACCAGAGCUGCCACAGUGACAUCUGCUCAAGACGCCCCAGCCUACGGGAAGAUUUAAGACUGCAUUCGCACACAUCUCACUGGCCAGACAACAAACUGGCGAGAACGGCAUGUGAAUCAUCCUAAAGCACACACAUGAAGUCGGACACCAGAGCACGUUCAUGUCACUACGCAGAAGAGCAGCCCCGUGAACCUGUUCAACGGACACUUGCAUCCCACUGUCUGGAUCACCUGGGGCAAGAGCAGCUCAUCGGCAGCUCCUUUAGGCCCCUGAGCCGUUAAAUGCCCCGAGACCGCCUUAAAGUAAAUUCCCACCUCCAGUGAGGAUACAGUAUACAAUGGCUCCCACCUCUGCCUAAAACACAGAAAGUUUUUGCUAUUUUCUCCUGGAGUUUUUCAAAUGUAUGUUUAGUAGAAGGUCAACUCCCUAAGAGUCUGCAUAGAAUGGUCUUAAAACAACAACAACAACAACCCUAAUAAUUUUCUGGAAAGGUUCUAAUUUUACAGAAGGGUACACUGGAUUUUGCAUCCUAUGGCACAUGAGGUGUUUCCUGAUUUCUUGCACCAGGUUAAUGUUUUAUUCAGUAUUAAACGGACUUAAUAUUAUUUUGAA
Molecule: long non-coding RNA, 5661 nt
Organism: Neofelis nebulosa (Clouded leopard)
Lineage: Eukaryota; Metazoa; Chordata; Mammalia; Carnivora; Felidae
Exons: 4
Source: RefSeq, a predicted model, not a curated record